This 194-nucleotide ribosomal RNA is filed under the name uncultured marine bacterium. RNAcentral describes it as "partial 16S ribosomal RNA". It matches the Rfam family "Bacterial small subunit ribosomal RNA", at positions 338 to 524 of the family's 1533-position model. The record is from RNAcentral.
CCUACGGGAGGCAGCAGUGGGGAAUAUUGCACAAUGGGGGAAACCCUGAUGCAGCCAUGCCGCGUGUGUGAAGAAGGCCUUCGGGUUGUAAAGCACUUUCAGCGAGGAGGAAAGGUUAGUCGUUAAUACCGGCUAGCUGUGACGUUACUCGCAGAAGAAGCACCGCCUAACUCCGUGCCAGCAGCCGCGGUAAU